This 342-nucleotide unclassified non-coding RNA is filed under the name soil metagenome. RNAcentral's name for it is "partial contains 5.8S ribosomal RNA, internal transcribed spacer 2, and large subunit ribosomal RNA". The stretch from base 1 to 120 matches the Rfam family "5.8S ribosomal RNA", at positions 35 to 154 of the family's 154-position model. The record is from RNAcentral.
GAUGAAGAACGCAGCGAAAUGCGAUAAGUAGUGUGAAUUGCAGAAUUCAGUGAAUCAUCGAAUCUUUGAACGCACAUUGCGCCUGGCAGUAUUCUGCCAGGCAUGCCUGUCCGAGCGUCAUUUCACCACUCAAGCUCUGCUUGGUGUUGGAGGACCCGCGUUUAGUCGCGGGCCGCCGAAAUGCAUCGGCUGUUGUAUAUACAGCUUCCCUGUGUAGUAAAUGCUUAGCUUUACACUUUGAAACUUUUAUAUAACAUGCCGAAAAACCCUCAACUUUUGAAAGGUUGACCUCGGAUCAGGUAGGAAUACCCGCUGAACUUAAGCAUAUCAAUAAGCGGAGGA